AGCAGUCGCCGCGGGAAUACGGAGGGUGCAAGCGUUAAUCGGAAUUACUGGGCGUAAAGCGCACGCAGGCGGUCUGUCAAGUCAGAUGUGAAAUCCCCGGGCUUAACCUGGGAACUGCAUUUGAAACUGGCAGGCUAGAGUCUUGUAGAGGGGGAUGGAAUUCCGCGUGUAGCAGUGAAAUGCGUAGAUAUGCGGAGGAACACCGAUGGCGAAGGCAAUCCCCUGGGCCUGUACUGACGCUCAUGCACGAAAGCGUGGGGAGCAAACAGGAUUAGAUACCCGUGUAGUCCCUGUCUCUUAUAC
This 303-nucleotide ribosomal RNA is filed under the name uncultured bacterium. RNAcentral's name for it is "partial 16S ribosomal RNA". It matches the Rfam family "Bacterial small subunit ribosomal RNA", at positions 507 to 807 of the family's 1533-position model. The record is from RNAcentral.